Small nuclear RNA from Ursus americanus (American black bear), 106 nucleotides. The record is from Ensembl. NCBI's taxonomy places the organism in Eukaryota, Metazoa, Chordata, Mammalia, Carnivora, Ursidae.
GUGCUUGCUUCAGCAGCACAUAUGCAAAAUUGGAAUGAUACAGAGAAGAUUAGCAUUGCUCCUGUGCAAGGGUGACACGCAAAUUCGUGAAGCAUUCCAUGUUUUU